GACAGAGGAUGCAAGCGUUAUCCGGAAUGAUUGGGCGUAAAGCGUCUGUAGGUGGCUUCUUAAGUCCGCUGUCAAAUCCCAGGGCUUAACCCUGGCCAGGCGGUGGAGACUACUAAGCUUGAGUACGGUAGGGGCAGAGGGAAUUUCCGGUGGAGCGGUGAAAUGCGUAGAGCUCGGAAAGAACACCAAGGGCGAAGGCACUCUGCUGGGCCGACACUGACACUGAGAGACGAGAGCUAGGGGAGCAAAUGGG
This 253-nucleotide ribosomal RNA is filed under the name uncultured bacterium. RNAcentral describes it as "partial 16S ribosomal RNA". It matches the Rfam family "Bacterial small subunit ribosomal RNA", at positions 524 to 776 of the family's 1533-position model. The record is from RNAcentral.